RNAcentral lists this ribosomal RNA (433 nucleotides) under uncultured bacterium. RNAcentral describes it as "bacterial SSU rRNA". It matches the Rfam family "Bacterial small subunit ribosomal RNA", at positions 29 to 507 of the family's 1533-position model. The record is from RNAcentral.
AACGAACGCUGGCGGCAGGCCUAACACAUGCAAGUCGAGCGCUACCUUCGGGUGGAGCGGCGGACGGGUUAGUAACGCGUGGGAAUAUACCCAGUUCUAAGGAAUAGCCACUGGAAACGGUGAGUAAUACCUUAUACGCCCUUCGGGGGAAAGAUUUAUCGGAAUUGGAUUAGCCCGCGUUAGAUUAGAUAGUUGGUGGGGUAACGGCCUACCAAGCCUACGAUCUAUAGCUGGUUUUAGAGGAUGAUCAGCAACACUGGGACUGAGACACGGCCCAGACUCCUACGGGAGGCAGCAGUGGGGAAUCUUAGACAAUGGGGGCAACCCUGAUCUAGCCAUGCCGCGUGAGUGAUGAAGGCCUUAGGGUCGUAAAGCUCUUUCGCCUGUGAUGAUAAUGACAGUAGCAGGUAAAGAAACCCCGGCUAACUCCGUG